This is a long non-coding RNA of Malus domestica (apple), 768 nucleotides long. RefSeq lists it as uncharacterized. Lineage: Eukaryota; Viridiplantae; Streptophyta; Magnoliopsida; Rosales; Rosaceae. The record is from RefSeq and is a predicted model, not a curated record.
UAUAGGUGCAGUCAAAAUCUCAAAGAUUUAGUAGGAUUUUAUUAGGUGAAGGAUUUUGAUGGAUUUGAAAGAGAUGGUAUAAAUACCAAAUGCCAUCCAAAAUCUGAUCCUAACCCCUCUGAUUUCUUUUCACGCCAGACGAAGAUGAACAGGCCAUUCCAUCUAUCUAUCAAGCUAUUGCCUUUUUCACCGAUGCUCAUAUCAAGCAGAAGAAAGUGUCCGACGCCAUUUGGCUUUUGAUCUCUCUGCUCAGUACGACGCCAUUCCCACUCCAGUCGAGUUGAUUCUCUGAAAUAUCUCAGAUAGCAGACUCACUGAUGAAGUGAAGAAUUGGAAACUGAGACGCAUAGAACAAGUGAGACAAUUUCAGGAUCUCCUCAUCCAGUUUCAUCUCCUGUACUGCGUGGAAGGGCUCCGUUGGGUCACAGGGACUUGUUUAGUCCAACUGAAUAUGUCAGUGCAAGUAGUCCAGAUGUUUCUGGCGGUAGGAGCUGAAAAGGAAGGUUCAUGAUGCAGUAGGAAGUCUGCAAGUGUUCCGUUGAUAUGCAGUGUUUUAAAUAUAGUUAUGCCAGAACGGAUUGCGCCUUAUAUGCAAUGAAAUGUGUUCUGAAAAUUGUUGGUGGUGUAGGUGCAAACCUUUUUUUUUUUUUUUUUUUAAACAAAUGUUGCACUUCUGAGUAAAUAGGGGACAAUCAGCCAGCAAAUUCCACUUGUAUUUUGUAUGCAGAUGUAAUGAAUUUUUUUGUGAAAAUCAGCUAUCGUUGCAUA